AUGCAUGUCUAAGUAUAAGCACUUGUACUGUGAAACUGCGAAUGGCUCAUUAAAUCAGUUAUCGUUUAUUUGAUUGUACUUUACUACAUGGAUACCUGUGGUAAUUCUAGAGCUAAUACAUGCGAAAAAUCCCGACUUCUGGAAGGGAUGUAUUUAUUAGAUUAAAAACCAAUGCGAGUCUUCGGGCUCGUUUUCUUGGUGAUUCAUGAUAACUUUUCGAAUCGCAUGGCCUAGCGCCGGCGAUAUUUCAUUCAAAUUUCUGCCCUAUCAACUGUCGAUGGUAAGGUAGUGGCUUACCAUGGUUAUAACGGGUGACGGAGAAUUAGGGUUCGAUUCCGGAGAGGGAGCCUGAGAAACGGCUACCACA
Molecule: ribosomal RNA, 367 nt
Filed under: Chelophyes appendiculata
Lineage: Eukaryota; Metazoa; Cnidaria; Hydrozoa; Siphonophorae; Diphyidae
Also listed under: 5 other names
Description: SSU rRNA
Rfam family: Eukaryotic small subunit ribosomal RNA
Source: RNAcentral